RNA transcript from Vicia villosa (hairy vetch), 2719 nucleotides. It is a transcript of the gene named DNA ligase 1-like, with no coding region annotated. The transcript has 6 exons. NCBI's taxonomy places the organism in Eukaryota, Viridiplantae, Streptophyta, Magnoliopsida, Fabales, Fabaceae. The record is from RefSeq and is a predicted model, not a curated record.
CUUAUGCUCUUAAUUUCACCGUGUCAACUUCAAAUGUUUCAAACCCCAAUUUCACAUCCACCAUGAAUCAUUCUUCACAACCCGAAACACCUUCACCCUCUGAUUCCAUCACCUCGUCACAACCUGAACCGCCACCACCGUCUGAUUCCGCCGCCAAUCCAUCAUUUCCCGAACCAUCGCCACCGUCCUAUUCGACUACACUAUCCGAACCACAGUCUUCGUUGUUCCAUUCCUCAAAUUUUCUAUCAUGCUUUCGUAGUUUGAGAAUUGAGAUGCUAACUUCCACUCCGAUUCUCUUCAUCUUCGACUCGGAGCCACCAACCAACACUGAAACCAUCAUGUAACAAAAAACGACACCGUUUCGAUCAAUGGUUAAGGGUUUGCACAGCCAAAAUCUCCCCGCCGAUGUAGCACAUGUCAUCGAUCAGCUAGAGCGCCACUGCUUGGCUCCCGAUGGAUCUCUCAUCUCCAAGCCUCUCUACAACAAUCUACAACUCGAUAGAGAGGAAAUGUGCAGGGAACGACUUCUCGAAGCCAUGGUAUGUGAAUGUUAUCUUUGUUAUGAAGCCAUGGUAUUUUUCCAAACAUAAAUCAUUUUAACUUCAACUCACUUUCAGACAGAAUCAAUGUACUCAAUUAAUUUUCUUCACUGCAGAACCAAACAUACGAUUAGGCUUUUAGUUUAUUGCAUUGCUUGCUUGUAUUUAGUUGCAUUUCUGGAAAAUCUUCUUGUUGACUGUUUAAACUCACAGGAUAUUGCAGAUUUUAUUCACAUUGGAUGAUGGGCUGGUCACUAUUCUUUUUUUCUUUUCACAUUUAUUCUUUCAAUAAAAAAAAUUCUUUCCAUUUCUGUUUUCCAUUAAAUAUGCUAUUCUUUGAUUUACCUUCAUAAUAACAAGCCGUGUAGAUUUUGGGUCGGCAUCUCCUGCUUUGCAAUGGCCUGGGUGGAUUGUAGUCAAAUUGUACAGUAGAGUUUAGAUUGUACAUUUUGGUAGAAGAAGUUGCAUUUACAGUAGAGUUUAGAUUGUACAUUUAGGUAGAAGAAGUUGCAUUUACAGUAGAGUUUAGAUUCCGCAAGUGUUCAAACCUAAGUCGUUUAUAUCCCGGAAAGUUAGAGAAUUGAACAGGGAAGGAGCUGGGAAGGGGACUGUUUGCUUUGGGCUGGCAUUGUGUGUGGGCAAGACCUUUGUGGGUUGGAGUCUAUAUGGAUUUCAUUGCUUAGGUUGAUUUAGUAUCUCCAUGCCUCUUUUGAAGAGGAAUCUGGAUUUCUUCAGUUUGGAACAUCAUUAACAUCAAACGAUGCUAAGGAAAUACAGAAAUUUCUUGACCAAGCUGUGAGUGAAAGUUGUGAAGGAUUAAUUUUUAAACCAUUGAGUAAAGGUGCUAUAUAUGUAACUUCCCAGAAGUCGCGCAUCUGGCUAAAACUGAAGACUAUCAGAAUAAGUAGAUACUGUUCUCUUUCCCCUUAGUUUAUUUGUGUACUGGCUGAGUUCCUUGUAUUAAUUGGCUCUAGUUCUGCUGCUGACUGUCAUCUACAGUAAAGAGUAAAAGGUCAUGUUUGCUUGAUUUAAAACAAAAGCUCAGUGGCUAAUAAUGAUUUUGAAGUAUUACUUUUCACCCAAAAAAAAAAUCAAAAUUCAGCAGUGCAGACCCAAGUCUUUCAAAUCAGCCCUUGGGAGCCCAUUUCAGUUCACUGGGAGCUUAAUUCAACUCAUAUUCAAAGAUAUUAGUUAUCAUGAGUUUGAAUGUAAGCCUCGUCAUCUAGUUUAAAUCGACAUUUAUUUAAAUCCCGUUGAUGGAUAUGCUAUCCAUUAGUGAGAGCUAAAGUGUGUAUUGUUCUGGUUGUAACUUCUUUCGCCAUAGGAUAUAGAGUUUCAGUGUAGUUUAAGGUAGGUUGUUGAUGAAACUAACAAUUAACAGUGCUGAAACUUUGCAAAGCUUGUUGAGCUUGAUAGGAAACAAUUCUAUUCUCAUACAAAGGGUCACCGUAGUAAGGAUGAUGGAGCAUAAUAAUACUUAUUUUCUCAAUAGAGAAGUCUAAACAUUAAAUGUUAGCUUUGUGGACUAUUUACUCAUUAGUGCUUCUCAUCAUAGUUAACUAGUUCAAAUUUUAAACGACAUAUAUCUGUUUAUCUCCACUAGUCACUGUCUAACCAUUUGUUUUGUUUCAGUUGACAUAUAUGUUUUGGAUUCUGGGAUAUAAACUCAAUGAAGCUAAUGCACUACUUCUGAGCAAAAGAUCCUGCUUUCCAAAACUGGAUGCCAUAAAAAGUGCAACGGCCAAUAUUCGUGCCAACCAUUGUAGUCAUAACUUAUGAAGGCCAACACAUUCAUCCAAGUCCAGCUAUGUCCCGUUCCGCUUUCGCCGGAGUUCAAAUACCACCACCGACCGCUGUUUCCGGUGGGUUUCCUACUAACUUUGGUUCAGUUUUGCAAGGGAACUACUUAUCACAGUAUCAGCAGCAACAGCACCAUCAUCAACAUAAACAGCUAUUGGUUAAUACAUUGUCCUCUUUGAGUAACCCUUAUAAUUACAAUUCUUCUGCUUUUACUCAAGAGAGGAAGCUUUGUAAUCCAGGGACAACUACUUCCUUUCUUAGGGACCAUGGUCUUCUUCAAGAUGUUGUUCCUUCACAUAUGUUAAAGGAAGAGUAAAUAUAUGAUUUGAUAAAUAGCUUCAUUAUUACUUUCUAUGUUAGUAUUUCUUUCUUUUUUAGUA